This 384-nucleotide ribosomal RNA is filed under the name uncultured bacterium. RNAcentral's name for it is "bacterial SSU rRNA". It matches the Rfam family "Bacterial small subunit ribosomal RNA", at positions 28 to 414 of the family's 1533-position model. The record is from RNAcentral.
GACGAACGCUGGCGGCGUGCUUAACACAUGCAAGUCGAACGGUGACGGGGAGCUUGCUCCCCUGAUCAGUGGCGAACGGGUGAGUAACACGUGGGCAAUCUGCCCUGACUUCGGGAUAACGCUUCGAAAGAGGUGCUAAUACCGGAUAUGAACCUCGCAGGCAUCUGCGAGGUUGGAAAGUUUCUCGGUCAGGGAUGAGCCCGCGGCCUAUCAGCUAGUUGGUGAGGUAAUGGCUCACCAAGGCGACGACGGGUAGCCGGCCUGAGAGGGCGACCGGCCACACUGGGACUGAGACACGGCCCAGACUCCUACGGGAGGCAGCAGUGGGAAUAUUGCGCAAGUGGGCGAAAGCCUGACGCAGCAACGCCGCGUGAGGGAUGACGG